RNAcentral lists this transfer RNA (76 nucleotides) under Micromonosporaceae bacterium. Its description in RNAcentral is "tRNA-Thr". It matches the Rfam family "tRNA". Rfam says of the family: Transfer RNA (tRNA) molecules are approximately 80 nucleotides in length. Their secondary structure includes four short double-helical elements and three loops (D, anti-codon, and T loops). Further hydrogen bonds mediate the characteristic L-shaped molecular structure. tRNAs have two regions of fundamental functional importance: the anti-codon, which is responsible for specific mRNA codon recognition, and the 3' end, to which the tRNAs corresponding amino acid is attached (by aminoacyl-tRNA synthetases). tRNAs cope with the degeneracy of the genetic code in two manners: having more than one tRNA (with a specific anti-codon) for a particular amino acid; and 'wobble' base-pairing, i.e. permitting non-standard base-pairing at the 3rd anti-codon position. Lineage: Bacteria; Bacillati; Actinomycetota; Actinomycetes; Micromonosporales; Micromonosporaceae. The record is from RNAcentral.
GCCGGUGAAGCACUGAAGGUAGUGCGCCUGCUUCGUACGCAGGAGGGAGCGCGUUCGAUCCGCGUCACCGGCUCCA